GUAGGGACAUCAAGGUAGAUGAAGAAUCCUCAUGGAAUUGGGAGUCCAGCACCUUGCCACAAGUUCAAAGAAUAGUUUCACAGGAAGAUGAGACUAUUAUCAAUGAAGAAAAAGCAGAAUCUAAUGAAAUAGAAGCUGAUAAAUUGGGAGCUGAUAGGGGAUCAGAUUCAGAGAAUCCUAUGCUAAGAGCCUAACCUUUGGUUGAUGUGUAUGCAAGGUGCAAUUCAGCAAUUCUAGAGCCAUCAAAUGUUGCCGAAGCUAAAAGUUCACAAGACUGGUUGGUUGCAAUGAAGGAGAAGCUAAAAAUGAUUGAAAAUAAAUGGAAUUUGGGAGCUGGUUGAUAGGCCAAGGAAUAAAAAUGUUAUUGGAGUCAAAUGGGUGUUCAAAAGUAAGAUGAAUUUUGAUGGAUCGUUAAUAAGCUCAAAGCCAGAUCAGUUGUAAAGGGGUAUGCACAGCAAUAUGGAAUUGAUUACAUAGACAUAAUUGCACCUGUGGAAAGGUCUAAAAUUAUCAUAUUAUUACUGGCUAUUGCUGCUCAAAAAAUUAUCAAUGAGCAAACAUUGCAUAUAAAGAAGAUGGAGGAAGAGUUUAUCAUCAUUUCCUUAUAUGUUGAUGGCCUUUCCAUAAUCGGCAGCAGUAAGGAGUUAAUUAACAAUACAAAGGCUGAAAUGAUAAAGGCAUUUGAAAUGACUGAUUUAGGGAAGAUGAAAUAUUUCCUUGAAAUGGAAUUAAACUAGACACAUGAAGGCAGUUUUGUUUGUCAAAAGAGGUAUGCCAAUGAGAUAUUAAAGAAAUUCAGCAUAGAAAAGUGCAAGCUAGUAAAAACCCCAUUGGUUCAAAACUUGAAACUGGUGAAAGAUGAUGAUAGCAAGAAAAUUGAUGGGAAGAUGUAUAGAAAUUUGGUUGGAUGUCUAUUGUAUUUAACAAACACAAGGCCUGACAUCACUUAUGCUACAAAUCUAUUCUCUAGGUUUAGGCAAGAACCAAGUGAUUUACACUUCCAAGCUGCCAAGAAAGUCUUGAGAUACAUCAAAGAAAAUGCUGAAUUAGGAAUUUGGUUUAAAAGGUCAGAGACUUUGGAUUUAAUUGGAUACCCUGACAGCAAUUGAGUUGGAUCUCUUGAUGAUAUGAAGAGCACAUUUGGAUAUGCAUUUUAUUUGGGACCAAAC
This 1169-nucleotide long non-coding RNA is filed under the name Olea europaea subsp. europaea. Lineage: Eukaryota; Viridiplantae; Streptophyta; Magnoliopsida; Lamiales; Oleaceae. The record is from RNAcentral.